GAUGAACGCUGGCGGCGUGCCUAAUACAUGCAAGUAGAACGCUGAAGGAAGGAGCUUGCUCUUUCCGGAUGAGUUGCGAACGGGUGAGUAACGCGUAGGUAACCUGCCUGGUAGCGGGGGAUAACUAUUGGAAACGAUAGCUAAUACCGCAUAACAGUAGAUGUUGCAUGAUAUCUACUUAAAAGGUGCAAUUGCACCACUACCAGAUGGACCUGCGUUGUAUUAGCUAGUUGGUGAGGUAACGGCUCACCAAGGCGACGAUACAUAGCCGACCUGAGAGGGUGAUCGGCCACACUGGGACUGGGCCACGGCCCAGACUCCUACGGGAGGCAGCAGUAGGGAACCUUCGGCAAUGGACGGAAGUCUGACCGAGCAACGCCGCGUGAGUGGAGAAGGUUUUCGGAUCGUAAAGCUCUGUUGUAAGAGAAGAACGAGUGUGAGAGUGGAAAGUUCACACUGUGACGGUAUCUUACCAGAAAGGGACGGCUAACUACGUG
This 497-nucleotide ribosomal RNA is filed under the name uncultured bacterium. RNAcentral describes it as "partial 16S ribosomal RNA". It matches the Rfam family "Bacterial small subunit ribosomal RNA", at positions 28 to 507 of the family's 1533-position model. The record is from RNAcentral.